UGGGGAAUAUUGCACAAUGGGCGCAAGCCUGAUGCAGCCAUGCCGCGUGUGUGAAGAAGGCCUUCGGGUUGUAAAGCACUUUCAGCGGGGAGGAAGGCGAUAAGGUUAAUAACCUUGUCGAUUGACGUUACCCGCAGAAGAAGCACCGGCUAACUCCGUGCCAGCAGCCGCGGUAAUACGGAGGGUGCAAGCGUUAAUCGGAAUUACUGGGCGUAAAGCGCACGCAGGCGGUCUGUCAAGUCGGAUGUGAAAUCCCCGGGCUCAACCUGGGAACUGCAUUCGAAACUGGCAGGCUAGAGUCUUGUAGAGGGGGGUAGAAUUCCAGGUGUAGCGGUGAAAUGCGUAGAGGUCUGGGGGAAUACCGGGGGCGAAGGCGGCCCCCUGGACGAAGACUGACGCUCAGGUGCGAAAGCGUGGGGAGCAAACAGG
Molecule: ribosomal RNA, 429 nt
Filed under: Chloroflexota bacterium
Lineage: Bacteria; Bacillati; Chloroflexota
Description: Chloroflexi bacterium partial 16S ribosomal RNA
Rfam family: Bacterial small subunit ribosomal RNA
Source: RNAcentral